RNAcentral lists this transfer RNA (76 nucleotides) under Candidatus Kerfeldbacteria bacterium CG_4_10_14_0_8_um_filter_42_10. RNAcentral's name for it is "tRNA-Ala". It matches the Rfam family "tRNA". Rfam says of the family: Transfer RNA (tRNA) molecules are approximately 80 nucleotides in length. Their secondary structure includes four short double-helical elements and three loops (D, anti-codon, and T loops). Further hydrogen bonds mediate the characteristic L-shaped molecular structure. tRNAs have two regions of fundamental functional importance: the anti-codon, which is responsible for specific mRNA codon recognition, and the 3' end, to which the tRNAs corresponding amino acid is attached (by aminoacyl-tRNA synthetases). tRNAs cope with the degeneracy of the genetic code in two manners: having more than one tRNA (with a specific anti-codon) for a particular amino acid; and 'wobble' base-pairing, i.e. permitting non-standard base-pairing at the 3rd anti-codon position. RNAcentral also lists the same sequence under 1 other name. The record is from RNAcentral. Lineage: Bacteria; Candidatus Kerfeldiibacteriota.
GGGCUGUUAGCUCAUUUGGUAGAGCGCCGCGUUUGCAUCGCGGAGGUGGCCGGUUCGAGCCCGGCACAGUCCACCA